GAUGAAGAACGCAGCGAAAUGCGAUAAGUAAUGUGAAUUGCAGAAUUCAGUGAAUCAUCGAAUCUUUGAACGCACCUUGCACCCUUUGGAAUUUUCCAAAGGGUAUGCUCGUUUGAGUGUCAUUGUACUCUCACACUCUCCGAUCCUUUGGAUAUGGGGAGCGGUGGACUUGGGUGCUUGCUGCUUCCUUGUGGCUCACCUGAAAUGCGUCAGUGCAUCUCUUGAUUGGACAUAGUACGGCGUGAUAAGUGUCUUCGCCGGCACCUCAUAAGAGGGUGGCCGAUCGGGAGCUCUGUGCUUUCAAACCGUCUUCGGACAAUCCCUGACAACUUGACCUCAAAUCGAGUAGGGCUACCCGCUGAACUUAAGCAUAUCAAUAAGCGGAGGA
RNAcentral lists this unclassified non-coding RNA (388 nucleotides) under soil metagenome. Its description in RNAcentral is "partial contains 5.8S ribosomal RNA, internal transcribed spacer 2, and large subunit ribosomal RNA". The stretch from base 1 to 122 matches the Rfam family "5.8S ribosomal RNA", at positions 35 to 154 of the family's 154-position model. The record is from RNAcentral.